Long non-coding RNA from Gossypium arboreum, 292 nucleotides. RefSeq lists it as uncharacterized. The record is from RefSeq and is a predicted model, not a curated record. The transcript is spliced from 2 exons. Lineage: Eukaryota; Viridiplantae; Streptophyta; Magnoliopsida; Malvales; Malvaceae.
AACAAAGGCCAACAAACAAACAGAAUAAGAAACGGAGAGCAUUCAAAAAACAUGGGAAGAAGAGGGAAAGAAAAGAAAAGGGGAGAAUUGAGAUUUUAAAGCUUCAAGUUUGUUUGCUAACAAGGAAAAUGAGGCAUCAGCAUCCAAAGGAAAAGAAAAGAUCGUUGAGGAGUAAACUAGUAUUCCGGGUUUGUAUUACUAUAAUUCAAAUUACUUUUUAUUAAAUGUUUUAUAUAAAUUCUAUAACACCCUAUGGUACUCCUUGAAAAAUGAGAAAUUUUAUAACACCCUA